RNAcentral lists this non-coding RNA (30 nucleotides) under Homo sapiens (human). The record is from RNAcentral. Lineage: Eukaryota; Metazoa; Chordata; Mammalia; Primates; Hominidae.
UGGGCUGAAGACUGUCUGCUAGGUGAAAAU